Molecule: ribosomal RNA, 500 nt
Filed under: uncultured bacterium
Lineage: Bacteria
Description: bacterial SSU rRNA
Rfam family: Bacterial small subunit ribosomal RNA
Source: RNAcentral
GAUGAACGCUGGCGGCGUGCCUAACACAUGCAAGUCGAGCGGUAUAUGCUGGAACGAAACUUCGGUCUAGAGAAGGCAUAGAGAGCGGCGGACGGGUGAGUAACGCGUAGGCAACCUGCCCCAUACAGAGGGAUAGCCUCGGGAAACCGGGAUUAAAACCUCAUAACGCGAGGAGUUCACAUGUUCUCCUCGCCAAAGAUUCAUCGGUAUGGGAUGGGCCUGCGUCUGAUUAGCUAGUUGGUGAGGUAACGGCUCACCAAGGCGACGAUCAGUAGCCGACCUGAGAGGGUAAUCGGCCACAUUGGAACUGAGACACGGUCCAAACUCCUACGGGAGGCAGCAGUGGGGAAUAUUGCACAAUGGGCGAAAGCCUGAUGCAGCAACGCCGCGUGAGCGAUGAAGGCCUUUGGGUCGUAAAGCUCUGUCCUUGGGGAAGAAAAAAUAGACGGUACCCUUGGAGGAAGCCCGGCUAACUACGUGCCAGCAGCCGCGGUAAUGUA